RNAcentral lists this ribosomal RNA (239 nucleotides) under uncultured bacterium. RNAcentral's name for it is "partial 16S ribosomal RNA". It matches the Rfam family "Bacterial small subunit ribosomal RNA", at positions 9 to 238 of the family's 1533-position model. The record is from RNAcentral.
GAGUUUGAUCCUGGCUCAGGACGAACGCUGGCGGCGUGCCUAAUACAUGCAAGUCGAGCGGACAGAUGGGAGCUUGCUCCCUGAUGUUAGCGGCGGACGGGUGAGUAACACGUGGGUAACCUGCCUGUAAGACUGGGAUAACUCCGGGAAACCGGGGCUAAUACCGGAUGGUUGUUUGAACCGCAUGGUUCAAACAUAAAAGGUGGCUUCGGCUACCACUUACAGAUGGACCCGCGGCG